RNAcentral lists this ribosomal RNA (569 nucleotides) under Ureaplasma urealyticum. RNAcentral describes it as "bacterial SSU rRNA". It matches the Rfam family "Bacterial small subunit ribosomal RNA", at positions 734 to 1326 of the family's 1533-position model. The record is from RNAcentral. Lineage: Bacteria; Bacillati; Mycoplasmatota; Mycoplasmoidales; Mycoplasmoidaceae.
CUAUCACUGACGCUUAGGCUCGAAAGUGUGGGGAGCAAAUAGGAUUAGAUACCCUAGUAGUCCACACCGUAAACGAUCAUCAUUAAAUGUCGGCUCGAACGAGUCGGUGUUGUAGCUAACGCAUUAAAUGAUGUGCCUGGGUAGUACAUUCGCAAGAAUGAAACUCAAACGGAAUUGACGGGGACCCGCACAAGUGGUGGAGCAUGUUGCUUAAUUUGACAAUACACGUAGAACCUUACCUAGGUUUGACAUCUAUUGCGACGCUAUAGAAAUAUAGUUGAGGUUAACAAUAUGACAGGUGGUGCAUGGUUGUCGUCAGCUCGUGUCGUGAGAUGUUGGGUUAAGUCCCGCAACGAGCGCAACCCCUUUCGUUAGUUGCUUUUCUAGCGAUACUGCUACCGCAAGGUAGAGGAAGGUGGGGAUGACGUCAAAUCAUCAUGCCCCUUAUAUCUAGGGCUGCAAACGUGCUACAAUGGCUAAUACAAACUGCUGCAAAAUCGUAAGAUGAAGCGAAACAGAAAAAGUUAGUCUCAGUUCGGAUAGAGGGCUGCAAUUCGCCCUCUUGAAGU